UUUGUACUCCCUCCGUCCCAAAAUUCUUGUCUUAAAUUUGUCUAAAUACGGAUGUAUCUAGUUACAUUUUAGUGUUAGAUACAUCCGUAUCUAAACGAAUGUAAGACAAGAAUUUUGGCACGGAGGGAAUACUAC
Triticum aestivum (bread wheat) is the source of this 135-nucleotide non-coding RNA. The record is from Rfam. NCBI's taxonomy places the organism in Eukaryota, Viridiplantae, Streptophyta, Magnoliopsida, Poales, Poaceae.